AUUGAACGCUGGCGGAAUGCUUUACACAUGCAAGUCGAACGGCAGCACGGACUUCGGUCUGGUGGCGAGUGGCGAACGGGUGAGUAAUACAUCGGAACGUGCCCAAUCGUGGGGGAUAACGUAGCGAAAGCUACGCUAAUACCGCAUACGAUCAAAGGAUGAAAGCGGGGGAUCGCAAGACCUCGCGCGAUUGGAGCGGCCGAUGGCAGAUUAGGUAGUUGGUAGGGUAAAGGCCUACCAAGCCGACGAUCGGUAGCUGGUCUGAGAGGAUGAUCAGCCACACUGGGACUGAGACACGGCCCAGACUCCUACGGGAGGCAGCAGUGGGGAAUUUUGGACAAUGGACGCAAGUCUGAUCCAGCCAUUCCGCGUGCAGGAUGAAGGCCCCCGGGUUGUAAACUGCUUUUGUACAGAACGAAAAGGCUCUGGUUAAUACCUAGGGCUCAUGACGGUACUGUAAGAAUAAGCACCGGCUAACUACGUGCCAGCAGCCGCAGUAA
Molecule: ribosomal RNA, 500 nt
Filed under: uncultured bacterium
Lineage: Bacteria
Description: partial 16S ribosomal RNA
Rfam family: Bacterial small subunit ribosomal RNA
Source: RNAcentral